Molecule: long non-coding RNA, 533 nt
Organism: Hyaena hyaena (striped hyena)
Lineage: Eukaryota; Metazoa; Chordata; Mammalia; Carnivora; Hyaenidae
Exons: 3
Source: RefSeq, a predicted model, not a curated record
GAUGUUUCUGUUUUCCUCUCCGAGUAUUUCUACUUUGGGUCCCUCCUGAUUCAGUGAGAGAAGACUAAGUGAGAACUGGACUUCAGUUGACCAAACCUAUGUCUUCGUUCAGGUGCACUGUGUGCUGGCUACGGUUUCUACUCCAUGUUGUUUUCUUUCUGGAAUUCAGACUGAUAGAGGUGCCUUUAUCUGGGACAUCGCAGAAUCUAGCAGCAGAAGAAAAAUGGAGGAGAUGGGAAACCAUGGCUGGCUUUGGACAUUUUCGACUAAAAUCAACAAACAUCAUUCUUACUCAAAUUUCAGCCAAAACAGGUCCACAACAUUAUCCCAGAGGUGGUGGAUUGCUUGCUGUCUUCCCCAAAUAUGUUCUUUUUUCCUGCACUGUGAGAACCCAGGGAGAGAUUACAUUUCUCAGCCUCCCUCGUAGCGAGGUGCAGAUGGGUGGCUCAAUUCUUACCAGUGGAACAUGAGCAGAAGUGGUAGGUCCACCCUCUGCCUCCUUGCUUAAGUAAAGGAAAAUUGCUUGCCUUGGA